CUUCUCUCAAUCUCUCCCUUUUUCGAGUUUUUUCUUCUCCAUCUCAUCUCCAUCUGAACCACCAAAUUGAUGGCCACUGGGAUCUGAUUCUCAGCAAGUCUUUUUGUUGUCUAUUCAAUUAUUCAAUUUUAUUUCCUCUGCUUACGAAUUUCUUCCUCUGGGUGGAGUUAGCUAGGGUUCUUAGCCAACGAAGUUCGGAGGAGAGGAAGAAAGUAAAGAAGAAGCAUCCGAUCUGAAACCAAAAUUUGGAUUGCAUGGGCUCUUCGUCUUCGACUGGAUAUGUAGAGGGUCUGAAAGAGAACUUCAAUGCUUCCCAUGGCAAUCCCAAUCCAAAAGUGUAAUCAUGAUUCUGGUUUUAGAUACCAGUCAGAUCCUAAUACAAACUGAUCAAUUCAUCCGAUUGGAGGGACAAGCAUAAGACUUGGGGGAAUGGCAAAAGGUUCCACCCAAAUACGGCUACCAUGCUUGGUGUAAGUGUCUUCCGAUGCUUCUUUCUUGAUGUUGACUAGUAGCUCAAAACACCAACUAAGUGUAUUGAUUUUAUUACCAGGAACAUGUAGUAGUGACAACUAAUGGGUAGGUGUAUUAUUAGAUAUACAAGGCUCAUAUAUAUGAACGGGAGUGAAGUAAAACCAUUACUAAGCUACCUUGGUAUGUAGAUUACUUGGUUAAUUGAAGAGCAAUGCUCACUUCAGUACUUUCCUUACAAUUUCAAACAUUCUUUCUUAUGAUGAAGCUGCAAGGUUACUACUUGGGGAUGCAGCCAAUGCAUUCGUAAUUACUCGCUGUUUUUUAUAUUUAUUUUUUGGAAACUUGGUUUUUGAUUCUGGUAUUCAAGAUAUUGCAUCCAUGAAGUGUCCAAGGUUUCAUAAGUUUGUUUUACAAGUCUUAAUUUACAAUUAUAUUCUUUUAUUUGUCUGUCGCUAUUUGAAAAUGUGGAUGUUGCUUCUAUUCACUAAAUCUAUGUUGUUUCUUCUCAUGUAUGACAAAUAAUGCUUAGUUCUUUCCUUAGGUGAAUUGGUCCAAGCUACUACCAAGGUAAAUACAAAAUGGAAAGGACUGCUAAAGUAUUACCUAUUAGACAUCGAUGAAGAGUUAGAAGUAAUAAUGAAAUCUGAAGAUAUGUGUUUGGAGUCCGCUAAGAAGUUCUCCCCUGUGUUUGAUAAGGUCAAGAAGCUGCAAAGGGACUGUCUAAGGAACCCUGUGAAUCACUGACGAAGCUUACAAGAGUAUCACUUCUAGUAGUGUAUAGUUUCUUAUGAAUGUAUUUUAAACUUGUAAAUUUAUUGUAUAAUACAUUUAAAAUGCAAGACAAGAUCAUAAUUGGUGCAUUUUUUUUUUGGGAAA
Long non-coding RNA from Rosa rugosa (rugosa rose), 1347 nucleotides. RefSeq lists it as uncharacterized. NCBI's taxonomy places the organism in Eukaryota, Viridiplantae, Streptophyta, Magnoliopsida, Rosales, Rosaceae. The transcript is spliced from 5 exons. The record is from RefSeq and is a predicted model, not a curated record.